CCUAGAAAAUGUUCCAUGUGUGCUUGAGAAGGUUUAUUUGGUACUGAUGAGGGAGUAGGAGGCUGGCUGAGGACAGAGCAAAAGCUGGCGCCUUGCACCCCCUCUUCACCCGCUCCCCUCCAUAUGUGUAGCAUCCCUCAGAUACCCCUGACUGCCAUAAAACGAUAAAUAGCUAACUUGCAGGGAUCGCAGUCCUGCAGAACAGGAAUCUCCCUUGCUCUACAGAUGUCCUAGAGACCUAAACAGGGAGGUUACCUUAUCAAUAGCACAAAUUUCCAGAGGCAAAUAACUCUCGGUUCCUGAAGCCCUAAUGUCUCCCUCCCACCAUAAACUGGAGGAGACUGAGGUAGAAGGGAAUGUAAAUGAUAGCAGGAUCAUAAUACCCCACCAAGAAUCUCCCAACUAUCUUGAUGUUAGUGCCUGACCUAAAGACGAUAUUGAUAAAGCCAUAAGGGCAAGGCCUCCCCCCUGCACCUUGUAGGCCCUCCCUAACAUGUGAGAACUCUGUUGAAACCUCCCAUCCUUUCCUUCCCCUUCCCCCAACUGCAAGGUAUAUAACAUGCCUACCUUCACAACCUGGGGCAGCAGCUCUUCUUGCCCACGGGUCCUGUCCCCGUGCUUUAAUAAACCACCAUUUUGCACCAAAGAUGUCUCAAGAAUUCUUUCUUGGUCAUCGGUUCUGGACCUCAGCCCACCGAACCUCACCUAGGUUCUAGAACUUCAUCAUAUGGCGCCUGAACGUGGGGCUGUGAGUCUUUACAUUUGGACUCUGAGCUUCGGUGCAAAAUUGGAGCAAGAAGAGCACCCCCUGGACCUAACACCCCCACUCCAGAUCUUCCCAUGCAUGUCUCAGGUAAACAUCCAAAGUGGAGUGGGCCCAGGUGGAACGUAAAUCACUAUUGGAACUAAGUUAAGUUUGUUGGUUUAAUUAAUGUAAGACGUGUCUUUUAAGUUAUCAGCAGUAAAUGUGAAACUUNNNNNNNNNNNNN
RNAcentral lists this long non-coding RNA (989 nucleotides) under Mustela putorius furo (domestic ferret). RNAcentral's name for it is "lncRNA (ENSMPUG00000029734.1)". The record is from RNAcentral. Lineage: Eukaryota; Metazoa; Chordata; Mammalia; Carnivora; Mustelidae.